AACGAACGCUGGCGGCAUGCCUAACACAUGCAAGUCGAACGAGAUCUUCGGAUCUAGUGGCGCACGGGUGCGUAACGCGUGGGGAUCUGCCCUUGGGUUCGGAAUAACAGUGAGAAAUUACUGCUAAUACCGGAUGAUGUCUUCGGACCAAAGAUUUAUUGCCCAGGGAUGAGCCCGCGUAGGAUUAGCUAGUUGGUGGGGUAAUGGCCUACCAAGGCGACGAUCCUUAGCUGGUCUGAGAGGAUGAUCAGCCUCACUGGGACUGAGACACGGCCCAGACUCCUACGGGAGGCAGCAGUGGGGAAUAUUGGACAAUGGGCGAAAGCCUGAUCCAGCAAUGCCGCGUGAGUGAUGAAGGCCUUAGGGUUGUAAAGCUCUUUUACCAGGGAUGAUAAUGACAGUACCUGGAGAAUAAGCUCCGGCUAACUCCGUGCCAGCCGCCGCGGUAA
RNAcentral lists this ribosomal RNA (449 nucleotides) under uncultured bacterium. Its description in RNAcentral is "partial 16S ribosomal RNA". It matches the Rfam family "Bacterial small subunit ribosomal RNA", at positions 29 to 523 of the family's 1533-position model. The record is from RNAcentral.